CACUCAGUGGCUUGACAUGGGAAUCUUUCACUGUCAGAGUUAAGAUGACACAUCAGCAUUUACAGCACACGAAACACUUGAGAAUUUUAUUCUAAAGUGUCAUUUAUAGAGGAUUUGGAUUUGGAUUUACCAAACUAGCAGGAUGAACCUCUCCGAAGAAUGUGAGGAAGACAUUUCUGCUUCCUUAAAACAUUUGGAUCCAACCCUACAGGAGAGAUUAGACUCUCCAGAACCCAGCUGUGUGUCCAUGAAGAGUGAUGUAUCUAUGAAUAUUUCACUACACUUCAGUGAUGGAGGGUCUACAUCUGGACACAGUCCAUUCCAGCAGGAGAGAUCAGACUCUCCAGAACCCAGCUGUGUGCCCAUGAAGAGUGAUGCAUCAAUGGUUCCACUAAUGUUCAAUGACGGAGACUCUAAAUAUGGACACAGCACUGCCUUAAUGCUCUUGGGCAUGGAAUUCACCAGAGCUUCACAGGGUGCUACUGGAAUCCUCUUCCACUCUUCCAUGAUGACAUCCUGGAGCUGGUGGAUGUUAGACACCUUGUGCUCUUCCUACUUCUGCUUGAGGAUGCCCCACAGGUGCUCAGUUUGGUUUAGGUCUAGAGACAUACUUGGCCAGUCCAUCACCUUUACCUUUUUUUGUUUGUUUACCAAGUCAAGAUUUUGUAUUUGUUGAUAUUAUUGUUGAUGAUGCUAGAGAAAAAGGAUUAACUUUGCACAUUUUUGUAUUGUAAUGUAUUUUUGUGGAUCUGAAACUUGGUUUCAUGCCAUCUGUGUUUAGCCUUCCUACGUUCUUUUUUUUAGGAGUUGAACUGCAGUAGCAUUCCUCCAAGGUGCUGUCUAUUGGAAUGACAAAGUUUUAGCAUAAACUGCUGCAAACUCAUUCAUAAGACUGACAAUGUUUGAGUUGAAGCUAUCAAAUAAAGCAUCAACAGAAUCUGAUUGUUUGCAUGGUGCAUUUUAUAAAUAAAAGUGUAGCUGUGUUGUAAUUUAUAAACCUUUUCUUAAAGCAAAUGUGUCUGGUCUUAGGAUUUAGUGACAUCCUCAUUUCAAAGAAAACACAGUAAUGGUCUAACAAAUUGACAUCCAAUCCAACAGUGGCUGAUAUGUUAUUACCCUUUGAGAUAACCACACCCAGUGUGACCAUGAUAGUGAUGCUGAGAGAGUCCAAAAGAGUGCAAUAUAAAGAGUUCUUUGGCAUAAAUAUGAUUGGGAUUUUCAAUAUGUAUGUUAAAAUCACCAGCAAUAACAAAAUGUUUGCACUGAAAAGAAUCAUAAAACAGAGCAGUUAUGCCUCCACCUUUCUUGAUUGCACAAGACAUUUAUAAAGUUUGGUUGAGCCUUUUUAAAUAAUAUGGUUUCAGCACUACUUUUAACUAACCUUGUUUCUUUUACAAGCAGAAAAUCAAGCCCAUUGGCUAUAAUACUAUAAUGAAUCAAAUAAGGCUUGUUUGUGGGAGAUCUUAUAUUUAGAAGAGCUAAUUUAGUAACCUGUGCACUUUGCUCCUGAUGGUGUGACUCACAUUUUACUAAAAAUUGGAUUUAUUCACAUUGAAUGUACCUUUUGUUCUUUUAAUUUCUGAUAAAUCCUGGAAUGGGAGAGAUUUUCGGCACACAGGGUCUGAUCUCAUUUUGAAAAGUUUGUUUUGUAAAAACAAACUAAUUUGUUUUUUAUUAGCAUAAAGAAGAUCAUGAAAAUCAAAAUGCUCCUCAUAAUGCUUUACUUUUGCCAUCUCACCGAUCUGAUGCUACAUCUAAUGAAACUGAACCUGAACCUCAGAAGGACUUGAAAUUAAAUUUGAAAAAGAAGCUUAAGUUUUUAAAUGAAGUGAUAAACCAGGGAAACCCAACACUUCUCAGGGAAAUCUACACAGAUCUCCACAUCACAGAGGGAGCAGAGGUCAGUAAUGAACAUGAAUUCAGACAGAUAGAGGCAGCAUCCAGGAGAACAGCAAGAGAGGAGACACCAAUCAAAUGCACAGACAUAUAUAAGCCCUUACCAGAACAAGACAAACCCAUCAGAACUGUGCUGACAAAGGGAGUUGCUGGCAUUGGAAAAACAGUCUCUGUGCAGAAGUUCAUUCUGGACUGGGCUGAAGACAAAGCAAACCAGGAUGUCCAGUUCAUAUUUCCACUUC
Molecule: long non-coding RNA, 2138 nt
Organism: Pygocentrus nattereri (red-bellied piranha)
Lineage: Eukaryota; Metazoa; Chordata; Actinopteri; Characiformes; Serrasalmidae
Source: Ensembl